RNAcentral lists this ribosomal RNA (482 nucleotides) under uncultured bacterium. RNAcentral's name for it is "partial 16S ribosomal RNA". It matches the Rfam family "Bacterial small subunit ribosomal RNA", at positions 30 to 507 of the family's 1533-position model. The record is from RNAcentral.
AUUGAACGCUGGCGGCAUGCUUUACGCAUGCAAGUCGAACGGUAACAGCACUUCGGUGGCUGACGAGUGGCGAACGGGUGGGUAAUACAUCGGAACGUGCCUAGUAGUGGGGGAUAACUACUCGAAAGAGUAGCUAAUACCGCAUGAGAUCUAAGGAUGAAAGCAGGGGACCUUCGGGCCUUGCGCUACUAGAGCGGCUGAUGGCAGAUUAGGUGGUUGGUGGGAUAAAAGCUUACCAAGCCGACGAUCUGUAGCUGGUCUGAGAGGACGACCAGCCACACUGGGACGGAGACACGGCCCAGACUCCUGCGGGAGGCAGCAGUGGGGAAUUUUGGACAAUGGGCGCAAGCCUGAUCCAGCAAUGCCGCGUGCAGGAUGAAGGCCUUCGGGUUGUAAACUGCUUUUGUACGGAACGAAAAGCCCUCUUCUAAUACAGGGGGGUCAUGACGGUACCGUAAGAAUAAGCACCGGCUAACUACGUG